Molecule: long non-coding RNA, 191 nt
Organism: Dermochelys coriacea (leatherback sea turtle)
Lineage: Eukaryota; Metazoa; Chordata; Testudines; Dermochelyidae
Exons: 3
Source: RefSeq, a predicted model, not a curated record
UGCUCAUUCCCAGCUUCUGGCAAACAGAGGCUAGGGAUACCAUUCCUGCCCAUCCUGGCUAAUAGCCAUUGAUGGACCUAUCCUUCAUGAAUUUAUCUAGUUCUUUUUUGAACACUGUUAUAGUCAUGGCCUUAACAUCCUCUGGAAAAGUGUUCCACAGGUUGACUUCAUUGUCAGAGAGAGAGAGAGAA